GGAUGUGAGGGCGAUCUGGCUGCGACAUCUGUCACCCCAUUGGUUUCCAGGGUUGAUUCGGCUGAUGUGGCUGGCUAGGCGGGUGUCUCCUUCCUCCCUCAAUGCUGCAUGUGCGUCCCUCCAGAAGCUUCGCGCUCAGUCGAAGAGGACGACCACCCUCGAUAGAGGAGGACUGUUCCUCCAUCAAGGGGGUACGAGUAGCUGCACUUCCCUGCUAGAACCUCCAAACAAGCUCUCCAGACUGUGAGAUCCUGAGCCGGUAGAUUUGUAAACUAUAUUGUAAGAUGAAUUUAAAAUGGAACAGAAGUACUACACAAUUACUUCAGUUACUUGUGGUAAUUGCUCUU
RNAcentral lists this small nuclear RNA (347 nucleotides) under Chinchilla lanigera (long-tailed chinchilla). Its description in RNAcentral is "7SK RNA (ENSCLAG00000021613.1)". It matches the Rfam family "7SK RNA". Rfam says of the family: 7SK was discovered as an abundant small nuclear RNA in the mid-70s but a possible function has only recently been suggested. The record is from Rfam by way of RNAcentral. Lineage: Eukaryota; Metazoa; Chordata; Mammalia; Rodentia; Chinchillidae.